UCCUUUGCAGCCAUGGGAGUGGCCACUAAAACCCUGGUCCAGGUUACAUUUGGAUUACGCUGGGCCGUUUAUGGGUGCAGUUGCUAGAUGGGAGGACUGUACGACGUCAUCUCGACUAUGUGAGGAGAAGAGUAAGCAUAGAGGGCGAGACGGUUAACGCAGAUGAUGCCAUACCACCUCCCAUGGACCUCACAAAUGGAGCAGGAAUUCAGAAACAUGGUUCGGCACCGGCAGGCAGCGUGUCGCCCCUAAAGGCAGGAGUUUCGAAGCAGUCCGGAGCACACAACAGCAACGCGCCGGAUCAAAUUCAAGAACGAGAGUUAACCUCAAGUCAAGAGUUCGAACCUGGAUUGCCGCCACAACAGCAGCCGUUGGAGAGGGAAACACUGCGCCGUUCUGAGAGACUGCGCCAGAAGCCAGAUCGUUUGCAGAUAGCUUGGAAAUAAAAUGUUAGGUCUCUUGCUUCACUUGUGUUAACUAUUUUAAUUGUUGGAGUUUUGUAUUACUUUUGCUAGUUUUAGUUACUAUGUUUAUUUUGUUUUUUGUCUCGUGUUUGCGGGUUUUAGCGUUUCUUAUAACUUGUAUCGAAUAUUUUUUUUUCUAGUCUUUCUAAUUGAUAAGUUUUAGUAUCUUCUGUAUCUUUUUUAACAUUUUGGUUGUAAACUUGAUUUUAUGGUUUCUAACCUGAGUUUUUUUUAAAAAAGGGAGGAGUGUUAUAAUUGUUACUACCAAAGUACUACUUGUCAUUCACUGCUUCAUGUAUUGGUUUAUGUAUUAGUUCAUACUAGUUGAUUUCGGAAGCUUCUCUCUGUAUGGAGCCAGUUCAGCUCCAGCCGGCAAGCGGGUAGCCGCUCCUUAAUACAUUGUUACCCCUGGA
Long non-coding RNA from Scylla paramamosain (green mud crab), 877 nucleotides. RefSeq lists it as uncharacterized. The transcript has 2 exons. The record is from RefSeq and is a predicted model, not a curated record. NCBI's taxonomy places the organism in Eukaryota, Metazoa, Arthropoda, Malacostraca, Decapoda, Portunidae.